Molecule: long non-coding RNA, 2029 nt
Organism: Mauremys mutica (yellowpond turtle)
Lineage: Eukaryota; Metazoa; Chordata; Testudines; Geoemydidae
Exons: 3
Source: RefSeq, a predicted model, not a curated record
GUCUAAAUGACCCAGCUCACUACCUGUCAGCUGUUUAUUUCUGUUAAAAUAGUUUUGAAUUUGAGUGUGGAUCGCUGACCCUGGAAAGAACAGGCUAAAGACUGUGCCCUGGCUGGAGGGGUGAGUUAUCUGCAAGAAACCACCCCAGCCCCAGAGUGACUGUUGACAAGGACACUGUGAUGCUCUGCCUGGCCAUGAGGAAGCACAUAGUGAGACGAACAGGGUAGAUACCAUUGGCUCGCUGACCCAGCCGGAGGUGGCGGAACCAUACCCCAGACCAGAAUCCAUGACUGUGGUUGUAGAUCCAGUUCCUGGGACCCAGCCAGAACCCAUGCAAGGAUCAGAUCAGGCAGAGCAGUCAGCAUCACAGCCUGCCCUUAGAACCACCCCCCCAGAGUCAGGAGCCAGCACCCAAGGAGCUCCAUGAAGCCUGCACCUGCAGCAGCAGCUAAACUGGUGCAAGGUCAACUGGAGCCUGAAACACCACCUAGCGCACCAGCGUAGAGCAGUUCACAGUCAAUGGAGACACCCACAUUAUCUGCAUCGCUUCGUGUGACCCAGCCGAAGUUCACAGCAUAACGAGGAACUAACGUCUUAUGGAGCAGUUCCAGGGAGAGCAGGAAGCGGAUGACAGCCUCAAGGGAGUUUGGAUGGCAGCCCAGAGUAACCUACCCACCUCUCAUCUCUUCUAUAACUGUGGCUCUUUGGCAAUGUAUAUUGGUACAUUCUGGCUCCUUCUCAGGCUCACGUUGUCCAUCUUGGUGUAGAUUAUAACAUGCAAACACUUUGCCCAGGAUUCUAACACCCUAGUGCUAUUUACUUAAACACACAGAAAAUACACAGAUUGGAACCAAAAUUGUAAACCCGAUAUGCAAUUCCCUGUCUGUUUCCUCAACACACCAAACCAUUCUAUGGGCCUGGAUUAGGGUCACUUGGUGUCAUCCAACAUCCUUCUGUUGCAAUGCAUCACUUAUAUGCACAAAAACCCAGCCUUCUCCCCCGGCUCAGAUAACCUUACCUUGGCCAGUUUAUCCCCUGCCUUCCUCUGCCCCAACUGUCCUGUGGCUCUUCCCCCAGUGAUUUCUUUUAGAACCUUUUGUUCUCUGUCAACCUUCAGGAACUUUCCACUCCUAACCCCCAUUCUCCUUAACAUCAACUUGGCCAAACUGCUUCCCUACUUAGCAUAAGUAUGUUUCCCAUUGUCCGCAGCCUAGUGAGUACCUGCUGUAGGUCCUGUCCAUCAGGAUGGAUACGCAUAGAAAGAGGUUUCCUAUGAUUAGGAAAUUUCAUGACGACAACUUCAUAAUAUCAACUAGAAUUCACAAGUCUUACAGACAGACACCCCACCCCCACCCCCCGACAUGCACACAAACAAAUAAAGACAUACAAAUCAGGCUUCUGUACACUCAAGUCAGCAAUUCUAUCCCUCAGUUUUCUGACCAACUGGUGUCACCCCUCCACACCCUCCAAAUCAGGCUCGUGUGCUCCUUACCACCAACAACCAAUUUGGUGUACAGAAUGUAUUAAACUUUCAGAAUUAACAUGAACAAUGCCUACAAAUUACCUAAAGCCAACAUUUAAAAUGAUAGUAAUAAACCUGCUGGUGGCAUCAGAUCUAGUGAUCUACCUCUCUACCAACUUCUAGUGGUGGAUAGUAAUUCUGAAAAUACUACUUGGCACUGAAAGGAUGGGGGCAGGGAAUCUAACAGGACCAGAACUGAGACAGAUGCAAGGCCAUGCAAGUUCAUAAUUAUACAGCCCGAAAAUAACACUAAGGUUUAAUAACGCUAAAAGAUACUCAUAUUUUGGAUUUAUAAUGCUGAAAGAUGUUAUUCUUUAUUCUUUGGCACCAAGAAAUGCAUUUUUCCACAGUAUUUGCUCAAUUCUUAACCAUCUACCUGUGACGUGUGUUAAAAUGACCGUUUGACAUGUAGCAACUCGCAAUAGCUCCACUCUACAUGAAUUUCUGCUUGUGACCUUGAUGUAUAUUAGAGUUAGGUGUCACUAGCAUUGCAGCUCUUGCCGCUGG